CCUACGGGUGGCAGCAGUGAGGAAUAUUGGUCAAUGGACGAGAGCCUGAACCAGCCAAGUCGCGUGCAGGAUGACUGCCCUACGGGUUGUAAACUUCUUUUAUAUGGGAAUAAAAUGUUCCACGUGUGGGAUUUUGUAUGUACCAUAUGAAUAAGGACCGGCUAACUCCGUGCCAGCAGCCGCGGUAAUACGGAAGGUCCGAGCGUUAUCCGGAUUUAUUGGGUUUAAAGGGAGCGUAGGUGGAUUGUUAAGUCAGUUGUGAAAGUUUGCGGCUCAACCGUCGCAUUGCAGUUGCAACUGGCAGUCUGGAGUAGGGGAGAGGUGGGCGGAAUUCGUGGUGUAGCGGUGAAAUGCUUAGAGAUCACGAAGAACUCCGAUUGCGAAGGCAGCUCGCUGGACUGCAACUGACGCUGAGGCUCGAAAGUGUGGGUAUCAAACAGGAUUAGAUACCCGAGUAGUC
RNAcentral lists this ribosomal RNA (460 nucleotides) under uncultured bacterium. Its description in RNAcentral is "partial 16S ribosomal RNA". It matches the Rfam family "Bacterial small subunit ribosomal RNA", at positions 338 to 795 of the family's 1533-position model. The record is from RNAcentral.